AUGGACAAACCACAAUUUCCUACUCCUUUGGCUCCUGUCCACAGGCCUCUCUACCUGAGUAAUGGGAGUCCAUUGCAAAGCCCUCUAUACCAUUAUAGUGACAAAAGCCCUACAGAGUCUUGGAAAAUACUGCUUUUGUCCUGUAGUGAAGAUUACAUUUUGCAGAAAGUGCUCUGGGUAAUGGUGGUUCGGAGAUGUUGGCUCUUCUUCUUAAGCUAGUUGCCCUUAUUUUCCAAGUUUCCAUUUAGCACAGAUGUUCUAUAAAGAAUUAUAAGAGUCCCUGGAGUUCUUGCCAAGAAGAUGCUGUUGAGGUCUACAUUAUCUACUACUCAUUGAUUGCUGAAAAUAUAAUCAUCAACUCAAUCAGUAAAUUUCAUUAAAAACCAAACAGAUGAAACAAUUUGACUAACUCUUCUUUGAGCUACAGAAGAAAAAGAACAUCUAUUAGAAAAAUAAACAGCAAUCAUGAAUAAAGUAUCUUGUUUUU
Molecule: long non-coding RNA, 487 nt
Filed under: Felis catus (domestic cat)
Lineage: Eukaryota; Metazoa; Chordata; Mammalia; Carnivora; Felidae
Description: lncRNA (ENSFCAG00000052107.1)
Source: RNAcentral